RNAcentral lists this ribosomal RNA (717 nucleotides) under uncultured bacterium. Its description in RNAcentral is "bacterial SSU rRNA". It matches the Rfam family "Bacterial small subunit ribosomal RNA", at positions 102 to 806 of the family's 1533-position model. The record is from RNAcentral.
ACGGGUGAGUAACGCGUAGGUAACCUGCCUGGUAGCGGGGGAUAACUAUUGGAAACGAUAGCUAAUACCGCAUAACAACAGUUGUUGCAUGACAGCUGUUUAAAAGGUGCAAAUGCACCGCUACCAGAUGGACCUGCGUUGUAUUAGCUAGUUGGUGAGGUAACGGCUCACCAAGGCGACGAUACAUAGCCGACCUGAGAGGGUGAUCGGCCACACUGGGACUGAGACACGGCCCAGACUCCUACGGGAGGCAGCAGUAGGGAAUCUUCGGCAAUGGGGGCAACCCUGACCGAGCAACGCCGCGUGAGUGAAGAAGGUUUUCGGAUCGUAAAGCUCUGUUGUAAGUCAAGAACGAGUGUGAGAGUGGAAGGUUCACACUGUGACGGUAGCUUACCAGAAAGGGACGGCUAACUACGUGCCAGCAGCCGCGGUAAUACGUAGGUGGCAAGCGUUGUCCGGAUUUAUUGGGCGUAAAGCGAGCGCAGGCGGUUUCUUAAGUCUGAUGUGAAAGCCCCCGGCUCAACCGGGGAGGGUCAUUGGAAACUGGGGAACUUGAGUGCAGAAGAGGAGAGUGGAAUUCCAUGUGUAGCGGUGAAAUGCGUAGAUAUAUGGAGGAACACCAGUGGCGAAGGCGACUCUCUGGUCUGUAACUGACGCUGAGGCUCGAAAGCGUGGGUAGCAAACAGGAUUAGAUACCCUGGUAGUCCACGCCGUAAC